UGGGGGGAUAUUGCACAAUGGGGGGAAACCCUGAUGCAGCAACGCCGCGUGAAGGAAGAAGGUCUUCGGAUUGUAAACUUUUGUCCUUGGUGAAGAUAGUGACGGUAGCAUAGGAGGAAGCCCCGGCUAACUACGUGCCAGCAGCCGCGGUAAUACGUAGGGGGCGAGCGUUGUCCGGAAUUACUGGGCGUAAAGGGUGCGUAGGCGGUUUGGUAAGUUGGAUGUGAAAUACCCGGGCUUAACUUGGGGGCUGCAUCCAAUACUGUCGGACUUGAGUGCAGGAGAGGAAAGCGGAAUUCCUAGUGUAGCGGUGAAAUGCGUAGAUAUUAGGAGGAACACCGGUGGCGAAGGCGGCUUUCUGGACUGUAACUGACGCUGAGGCACGAAAGCGUGGGGAGCAAACAGGAUUAGAUACCCUGGUAGU
RNAcentral lists this ribosomal RNA (424 nucleotides) under uncultured Oxobacter sp. Its description in RNAcentral is "bacterial SSU rRNA". It matches the Rfam family "Bacterial small subunit ribosomal RNA", at positions 354 to 794 of the family's 1533-position model. The record is from RNAcentral. Lineage: Bacteria; Bacillati; Bacillota; Clostridia; Eubacteriales; Clostridiaceae.